GGUAUGUAAAGCUCUAUCAGCAGGGAAGAUAAUGACGGUACCUGACUAAGAAGCACCGGCUAAAUACGUGCCAGCAGCCGCGGUAAUACGUAUGGUGCAAGCGUUAUCCGGAUUUACUGGGUGUAAAGGGAGCGCAGGCGGUGCGGUAAGUCUGAUGUGAAAGCCCGGGGCUCAACCCCGGUACUGCAUUGGAAACUGUCGUACUAGAGUGUCGGAGGGGUAAGCGGAAUUCCUAGUGUAGCGGUGAAAUGCGUAGAUAUUAGGAGGAACACCAGUGGCGAAGGCGGCUUACUGGACGAUAACUGACGCUGAGGCUCGAAAGCGUGGGGAGCAAACAGGAUUAGAUACCCUGGUAGUCCACGCCGUAAA
RNAcentral lists this ribosomal RNA (369 nucleotides) under uncultured bacterium. Its description in RNAcentral is "bacterial SSU rRNA". It matches the Rfam family "Bacterial small subunit ribosomal RNA", at positions 420 to 806 of the family's 1533-position model. The record is from RNAcentral.